CUCGCCUUCCCGCCCGCCCCUAUUGUUCCGCCCCGGCCUCCCGCCCUUCGCCUUCCCGCCCGCUCUCCUUUUCCCCUCAGUUACCUCGCGCCUGCAGUUUUUGGCUUUCACCCCCACCAGUGACCAAAGACCUGACCACUCAGAGUCCAGCUCCUGAGAACACUGCUCAACAUGGACACCGGUGUGAUUGAAGGUGGAUUAAAUGUCACUCUCACCAUCCGGCUACUUAUGCAUGGAAAGGAAGUUGGCAGUAUCAUCGGGAAGAAAGGAGAAUCAGUUAAGAAGAUGCAUGAGGAGAGUGGUGCAUGUAUCAACAUCUCAGAAGGGAAUUAUCCUGAGAGGAUUAUCACUUUGGUUGGACCCACUAAUGCCAUCUUCAAAGGUUUUGCUAUGGAAGAGGACAUCAGCAGCUCUAUGACCAAUAGCACAGCUGCCAGUAGACCCCCAGUCACCCUGAGGCUGGUGGUCCCUGCUAGUCAGUGUGGCUCUCUCAUUGGGAAAGGUGGUUGCAAGAUCAAGGAAAUACGUGAGAGUACAGGGGCUCAGGGCCAGGUGGCAGGAGAUAUGCUCCCCAACUCAACUGAGGGGCCAUCACUAUUGCUGGCAUUCCGCAGUCCAUCAUUGAGUGUGUGAAACAGAUCUGCGUGGUCAUGUUGGAGACUCUCUCCCAGUCCCCCCCGAAGGGUGUGACCAUCCCGUACCAGCCCAAGCCGUCCAGUUCUCCAGUCAUCUUUGAUGACUGCAGGUGGUCAGGACAGGUACAGCACAGGUAGCGACAGUGCGAGCUUUCCCCACACCACCCCAUCCAUGUGCCUCAACUCUGACCUGGAGGGACCACCUCUAGAAGCCUAUACCAUUCAAGGACAGUAUGCCAUUCCACAGCCAGAUUUGACCAAGCUGCACCAGUUGGCAAUGCAACAGUCUCAUUUUCCCAUGACGCAUGGCAAGACCGCAUUCAGUGCAGGUUUGGAUGCAUCUGCUCAGACUACUUCUCAUGAACUCACCAUUCCAAACAAUUUGAUUGGCUGCAUACUCGGGUGUCAAGGCGCCAAAAUCAAUGAGAUCCGUCAGAUGUCUGGGGCACAGAUCAAAAUUGCGAACCCAGUGGAAGGAUCUACUGAUAGGCAGAUUACCAUCACUGGAUCUGCUGCCAGCAUUAGCCUGGCUCAAUAUCUAAUCAAUGUCAGGCUUUCCUCGGAGACGGGUGGCAUGGGAGCAGCUAGAACAAUGCAGACUCAUCCAUAAUCCCUUUCUGCUGUUCACCACCACCCAUGAUCCAUCUGUGUAGUUUCUGAACAGUCAGUGAUUCCAGGUUUUAAAUAGUUUGUAAAUUUUCAGUUUCUACACACUUUAUCAUCCACUCGUGAUUUUUUAAUUAAAGCGUUUUAAUUCCUUUCUCUGUUCAGCUGUUAAUGCUGAGAUCCAUAUUUAGUUUUAUAAGCUUCUCCCUGUUUUGUUUUUGUUUUGUUUUGUUUUUUGGGGGGGGAUUUUUGGCUCAUGAAAUUUUUUUGUUUGUCAUGGAAAUGUAAGAGUGGAAUAUUAAUACAUUUCAGUUUAGUUCUGUAAUGUCAGGAAUUUUUCAAAAAAAUUAAAAGAUGGACUGGAGC
Molecule: RNA transcript, 1607 nt
Organism: Aethalodelphis obliquidens (Pacific white-sided dolphin)
Lineage: Eukaryota; Metazoa; Chordata; Mammalia; Artiodactyla; Delphinidae
Gene name: poly(rC)-binding protein 2 pseudogene
Exons: 1
Source: RefSeq, a predicted model, not a curated record